UUCCUAUUUCCCUCCUUUUUCAAAGGCAGAAAUCUCACCUCAAUCAAUGUCGGAAGAGGCUGAGAAAUUAACCCAUUUUCUUGAAGAAAUGCCCACCGCUUCUGCAUCCCCACGUAUUCAUCUACAAGGCUCCACCGUUGAUGAGCUACGUGUACAGACUCACUCGUCAGCUAUAUCACCGUCCAGUGAAGCAGUUUCUUGCACCUUCGUAUGGACGGUGAGGAACGGUGAAACGUCUUUUCAUGUUCUCCAUUUACUAUGCGACCUCUUAGAUGGACGCUCUGGAUCAUUACGUGGUAGGUCCGAAGGGCGAGCAGCUUGGGCGUUCCGAUUCUUAUGAGGAUUGUGGAAUCAUCAAGUGGGCCUCAUGAGUUUGAGAAAAAUGCGCGAUUAGAAGAAAAGACCAGUGGAAUGUACCCAACGUGCAAAUGACACCCAUCUGAUAAGUGUGGACCAGCCUGAUUUUUGGGCUACUGCAUCGCCCAGCUAAAGUAUGGCCCGGAUAUCUCACGCGUGCGACAAGUUGACACGUAUCUCACAUUGCACCUUGAAUCAAUUCAUAGCGGAAUGGAGGUGGAAGAACUUUCUCUGGCAUAUGUUGAAGGAGAGAUGGGAAGCUCGCUCCCAUCUUAUUUUAAACAUUGCAGUAGUCCUAAGAAGGAAGCGCUAUUUGGGGGUAAAUAUCAGCCGCGGAUCUUUGUUGUGUUGGAUGUGUAAAUAUGUGGUUAAAAUCUUGAAGAUAGAUUGCCACACAUCCAACGGUAGGCUUUUAGAAAAGUUAGUAGGGUGGAGAUUGGGUGGACCA
This is a long non-coding RNA of Magnolia sinica, 805 nucleotides long. RefSeq lists it as uncharacterized. The record is from RefSeq and is a predicted model, not a curated record. The transcript is spliced from 2 exons. NCBI's taxonomy places the organism in Eukaryota, Viridiplantae, Streptophyta, Magnoliopsida, Magnoliales, Magnoliaceae.